Molecule: ribosomal RNA, 406 nt
Filed under: uncultured bacterium
Lineage: Bacteria
Description: partial 16S ribosomal RNA
Rfam family: Bacterial small subunit ribosomal RNA
Source: RNAcentral
AUUGAACGCUGGCGGCAGGCCUAACACAUGCAAGUCGAGCGAGCGGCGGACGGGUGAGUAAUGUCUGGGAAACUGCCUGAUGGAGGGGGAUAACUACUGGAAACGGUAGCUAAUACCGCAUACCAUCAGAUGUGCCCAGAUGGGUUUAGCUAGUAGGGGGGGUAACGUCUCACCUAGGCGACGUUCCCUAGCUGGUCUCAGAGGAUGACCAGCCACACGGGAAGUAGGACACGGCCCAGACUCCUACGGGAGGCAGCAGUGGGGAAUAUUGCACAUUGUGCGCAAGCCUGAUGCAGCCAGGCCGCGUGGGGGAAGAAGGCCUUAGGGUUGUAAAGUACUUUCAGCGGGGAGGCGUUACCCGAAGAAGAAGCACCGGCUAACUCCGUGCCAGCAGCCGCGGUAAUUC